Rhabditophanes sp. KR3021 is the source of this 134-nucleotide non-coding RNA. Lineage: Eukaryota; Metazoa; Nematoda; Chromadorea; Rhabditida; Alloionematidae. The record is from Rfam.
GACUUUGCGCUGGGGUGAUAACGUGAACUGUGAAGUUUAGCUGAGUUGCGUUUAUUGCUGGUUGAAAACUUUAACCAAUAGCCCGUCAUAAGUACCUUGGUAUCUUAUGGCAAUUUUUGGAAGGCCAAAAGGCC